This 447-nucleotide ribosomal RNA is filed under the name uncultured bacterium. Its description in RNAcentral is "partial 16S ribosomal RNA". It matches the Rfam family "Bacterial small subunit ribosomal RNA", at positions 29 to 523 of the family's 1533-position model. The record is from RNAcentral.
AACGAACGCUGGCGGCAGGCUUAACACAUGCAAGUCGAGCGCCCCGCAAGGGGAGCGGCAGACGGGUGAGUAACGCGUGGGAAUCUACCCAUCUCUACGGAACAACUCUGGGAAACUGGAGCUAAUACCGUAUACGUCCUUCGGGAGAAAGAUUUAUCGGAGAUGGAUGAGCCCGCGUUGGAUUAGCUAGUUGGUGGGGUAAUGGCCUACCAAGGCGACGAUCCAUAGCUGGUCUGAGAGGAUGAUCAGCCACACUGGGACUGAGACACGGCCCAGACUCCUACGGGAGGCAGCAGUGGGGAAUAUUGGACAAUGGGCGAAAUCCUGAUCCAGCCAUGCCGCGUGAGUGAUGAAGGCCCUAGGGUUGUAAAGCUCUUUCACCGGUGAAGAUAAUGACGGUAACCGGAGAAGAAGCCCCGGCUAACUUCGUGCCAGCCGCCGCCGUAA